This 1319-nucleotide ribosomal RNA is filed under the name uncultured Alphaproteobacteria bacterium. RNAcentral's name for it is "bacterial SSU rRNA". It matches the Rfam family "Bacterial small subunit ribosomal RNA", at positions 27 to 1393 of the family's 1533-position model. The record is from RNAcentral. Lineage: Bacteria; Pseudomonadati; Pseudomonadota; Alphaproteobacteria.
GAACGUACGCUGGCGGCACGCCUAACACAUGCAAGUCGAACGAAGUAGCAAUACUUAGUGGCAGACGGGUGAGUAACAUGUAGGUAUCUGCCCUUUGGCCUGGAAUAACACGAGGAAACUUGUGCUAAUACCGGAUAAGUCUUUACGGAGAAAGCUUUAUGCACCAUUGGAUGAGCCUGCACUUGAUUAGUUUGUUGGUGGGGUAAUGGCCUACCAAGACUGUGAUCAAUAGCUGAUUUGAGAGGAUGAUCAGCCACAUUGGGACUGAGACACGGCCCAAACUCCUACGGGAGGCAGCAGUGGGGAAUCUUGCACAAUGGAGGAAACUCUGAUGCAGCGAUGCCGCGUGAGUGAAGAAGGCCCUUGGGUUGUAAAGCUCUUUCGUCGGGGAAGAAAAUGACUGUACCCGAAUAAGAAGGUCCGGCUAACUUCGUGCCAGCAGCCGCGGUAAUACGAAGGGACCUAGCGUAGUUCGGAAUUACUGGGCUUAAAGAGUUCGUAGGUGGUUGAAAAAGUUGGUGGUGAAAUCCCAGAGCUUAACUCUGGAACUGCCAUCAAAACUUUUCAGCUAGAGUAUGAUAGAGGAAAGCAGAAUUUCUAGUGUAGAGGUGAAAUUCGUAGAUAUUAGAAAGAAUACCAAUUGCGAAGGCAGCUUUCUGGAUCAUUACUGACACUGAGGAACGAAAGCAUGGGUAGCGAAGAGGAUUAGAUACCCUCGUAGUCCAUGCCGUAAACGAUGUGUGUUAGACGUUGGAAAUUUAUUUUCAGUGUCGCAGCGAAAGCGAUAAACACACCGCCUGGGGAGUACGACCGCAAGGUUAAAACUCAAAUGAAUUGACGGGGACCCGCACAAGUAGUGGAGCAUGUGGUUUAAUUCGAAGAUACGCGCAGAACCUUACCAACACUUGACAUGUUCGUCGCGACUCUAAGAGAUUAGAGUUUUCGGUUCGGCCGGACGAAACACAGGUGCUGCAUGGCUGUCGUCAGCUCGUGUCGUGAGAUGUUGGGUUAAGUCCCGCAACGAGCGCAACCCUCACUUUUAGUUGCCAUCAUUAAGUUGGGCACUCUGAAAGAACUGCCAGUGAUAAGCUGGAGGAAGGUGGGGAUGACGUCAAGUCCUCAUGGCCCUUACGUGUUGGGCUACACACGUGCUACAAUGGUAUCUACAACAGGAAGCAAGACUGCGAAGUUAAGCAAAUCCCUAAAAGAUACCUCAGUUCGGAUUGCACUCUGCAACUCGAGUGCAUGAAGCUGGAAUUACUAGUAAUCGUGGAUCAGCGUGCCACGGUGAAUGCGUUCCCGGGUCUUGUACACACCGC